Molecule: non-coding RNA, 554 nt
Organism: Camellia sinensis
Lineage: Eukaryota; Viridiplantae; Streptophyta; Magnoliopsida; Ericales; Theaceae
Source: RefSeq, a predicted model, not a curated record
GAUGAUCGGGAAGCUUUUUUGAUGAUGGUGACGGUGAUGACGACGACGAUGAUCUCUUGUUCUUCCUUGAACCUCCUCCAACUGGAACGUUUCUGAGAGACCCUCCUUCAGUCCAAUAUCUUCUACAAGUCUUACAAAAGUACCUUGGUUGAGUGAGACUGUAAUUAUUGUAGUAACAAAACUUGGUGUUGGUUGAAUUGCACCUAGGGCAGUUCAAAGCUUGUUCCUUUUGUGGUCUUGGCUUCCUUUCAGUUAUAGCCCUUGAGCCUUCCAUGGGUUUCACCAACCCUACCCCCUGAAAAGAAAAGCAAAGAAAAGAAAGAUGGAAAACAAAAACCCAUGACUCUACAUGAUCAAAAUAAAAGGAUUUGUUGACAAAGAUAAAGAGUGAAAAAAAUAUAGCAAACAAACAAGGCAGAGAAAACAAGAAUAUUGCUUUAUGCUUUGAGGAUUACAAUAGCAAUAAAAACAAAUUAGAAUAGCUUUUUUAGGUCCCUUUUGGUGGUGAAAAAGAAAGAAAAAAAAGUGCAGGCAAGGCAUGACAGUACUUUCAA